RNAcentral lists this ribosomal RNA (243 nucleotides) under Chloropicon mariensis. Its description in RNAcentral is "partial Eukaryotic large subunit ribosomal RNA". It matches the Rfam family "Eukaryotic large subunit ribosomal RNA", at positions 395 to 664 of the family's 3401-position model. The record is from RNAcentral. Lineage: Eukaryota; Viridiplantae; Chlorophyta; Chloropicophyceae; Chloropicales; Chloropicaceae.
GUACGUGAAAUUGUUGAAAGGGAAGCUCUUGCUACCAGACUUGCCUGUGGUUGCUCAACCCUUACGGGUGUACUCUUCCGCAGGCAGGCCAGCGUCAGUUUGGGCGGCCGGAUAAAGGCCCUAGGAAUGUAGCCUCUCCGGGGGUGUUAUAGCCUAGGGUGCAAUGCGGCCAGCCCGGACUGAGGACCGCGUCUUACUAGGAUGCUGGCGUAAUGGUCGCAAGCGACCCGUCUUGAAACACGG